UGGCUUGGAAGCAGCCAUUCAUUUAAAGAGUGCGUAACAGCUCACUAGUCGAGCGAUCUGGCGUGGAUAAUAAUCGGGCAUAAACGAUCUGCCGAAGCCGUGGAUGUCGCAAGACAUGGUAGGGGAGCAUUCCAUGCCGCGUCGAAGAUGAGGGAUGACCCUUGUUGGAGCGCAUGGAAAAGCAAAUGUAGGUAUGAGUAACGAUAAGGGGGGCGAGAAACCCCCCCGCCGAAAGACCAAGGUUUCCUGAUCAACGCUAAUCGGAUCAGGGUGAGUCGGGACCUAAGGCAAAGCCGAACGGCGCCGCCGAUGGAAGAAUGGGUUAAUAUUCCCAUACUGCCUCAUGGAGUGACGUGGAGACGGAGAAGUGACAGUCCUGCCGGCUGACGGAAUAGCCGGUUGAAGGGUGUAGAUAUUGAUUCCCGUAGGCAAAUCCGCGGGGAGAGUCGAACCUGAGAGUAUACGGAGCGCUUGCGCAACGUAAUAUGGACGUAACCAUGCUCCCGAGAAAAUCCGCUAAACUUAUCCAUGCGGCACCCGUACCGUAAACGGACACACGUGGUCGGGUUGAGAAUACUGAGGCGCUCGAGUGAUUCACGGUUAAGGAACUAGGCAAAUUGACCCUGUAACUUCGGGAUAAAGGGUCCCAACGAGAGUUGGGCGCAGAGAAUAGGUCCAGGCAACUGUUUAACAAAAACACAGGGCUGUGCAAAAUUGAAAGAUGAAGUAUACAGCCUGACACCUGCCCGGUGCUGGAAGGUUAAGAGGAGAUGUCAUCGCAAGAGAAGCAUUGAAUUGAAGCCCCAGUAAACGGCGGCCGUAACUAUAACGGUCCUAAGGUAGCGAAAUUCCUUGUCGGGUAAGUUCCGACCUGCACGAAUGGUGUAAUGAUCUGGACGCUGUCUCAACCGUGAGCUCAGUGAAAUUGUAGUAUCGGUGAAGAUGCCGAUUACCCGCGAUGGGACGAAAAGACCCCGUGAACCUUUACUAUAGCUUAACAUUGAAUUUGGGUAAUUGAUGUGUAGGAUAGGCCGGAGGCUUUGAAGCGGGCACGCCAGUGUCCGUGGAGCCGCUGUUGAAAUACGGCCCUUUGAUUAUUUGAGUUCUAACCCGUUGUUGCGGGGACACUGUUUGGUGGGUAGUUUGACUGGGGUGGUCGCCUCCAAAAGUGUAACGGAGGCUUCUAAAGGUGCCCUCACGACGAUUGGUAACCGUCGGCAGAGUGUAAUGGCAUAAGGGCGCUUGACUGGGAGACUAACAAGUCGAUCAGGUAG
RNAcentral lists this ribosomal RNA (1274 nucleotides) under human gut metagenome. RNAcentral's name for it is "bacterial LSU rRNA". It matches the Rfam family "Bacterial large subunit ribosomal RNA", at positions 1102 to 2400 of the family's 2925-position model. The record is from RNAcentral.